CUUCUACUGAGACUACACAUGGCUCUGAAGCCCUCUAUCAUGAUGCACACGGAGGCAGCUCCCACCAAGCCAUGGACGGCGCAAGUUGGUCCCAGGGAUUUGAACUCAGGUCACUAGACUUGGCAGCAAGCACCUUUACCUAUUAAGCCAUCUUUUCAUCUGGCAGACAUCAUGCAGAAGGAGCUGUAGCAGGUUUCUUCUAACAGCCGCCAAAACUUGAAUUGGAGAUGCUAGAGAGGAAGAUGUAGAAAAUGGGCAAAAUAUCAGCCUGAUACCAUGAGGAUGAAUGAGAGAGAGCUUACCCUUGCCUCUCCACAACUACGGCAGCUUGGUGGUUUUGGACCCAGUCUGAAAAUGUAGAAACUGAGCUGAGACUUAUUUCCGUUGAGCAUUUCUCAAAGUAUGACAUAUGCGGCAGCACUUGAGAUGAUUUUAGGGUUUGUGGACAAACUUUGUUAUCAUGCCAAUUAUAGAUAUAUCUAAUGACCAUAGAAAAUGUGAUUUGUCCCUUAAAUCUCUGCCAUCUGCCUUGUAUAUUGUUUUUUUCCAGAAUGAAGCCAAGUAAAAACAGUGAGACUGAAUAAUUGUACAAAUAGCGUGUGACAGAGUUUCAAAUGAUGAGAGAGCCUUAAGAGUUACUGACAUUUGC
RNAcentral lists this long non-coding RNA (649 nucleotides) under Mus musculus (house mouse). RNAcentral's name for it is "RIKEN cDNA 4930405D11 gene (4930405D11Rik)". The record is from RNAcentral. Lineage: Eukaryota; Metazoa; Chordata; Mammalia; Rodentia; Muridae.